GAUGAACGCUGGCGGCGUGCCUAAUACAUGCAAGUCGAGCGAACAGACGAGGAGCUUGCUCCUCUGACGUUAGCGGCGGACGGGUGAGUAACACGUGGAUAACCUACCUAUAAGACUGGGAUAACUUCGGGAAACCGGAGCUAAUACCGGAUAAUAUAUUGAACCGCAUGGUUCAAUAGUGAAAGACGGUUUUGCUGUCACUUAUAGAUGGAUCCGCGCCGCAUUAGCUAGUUGGUAAGGUAACAGCUUACCAAGGCAGCGAUGCGUAGCCGACCUGAGAGGGUGAUCGGCCACACUGGAACUGAGACACGGUCCAGACUCCUACGGGAGGCAGCAGUAGGGAAUCUUCCGCAAAGGGCGAAAGCCUGACGGAGCAACGCCGCGUGAGUGAUGAAGGUCUUCGGAUCGUAAAACUCUGUUAUUAGGGAAGAACAAAUGUGUAAGUAACUAUGCACGUCUUGACGGUACCUAAUCAGAAAGCCACGGCUAACUACGUG
Molecule: ribosomal RNA, 497 nt
Filed under: uncultured bacterium
Lineage: Bacteria
Description: partial 16S ribosomal RNA
Rfam family: Bacterial small subunit ribosomal RNA
Source: RNAcentral